Molecule: ribosomal RNA, 253 nt
Filed under: uncultured bacterium
Lineage: Bacteria
Description: partial 16S ribosomal RNA
Rfam family: Bacterial small subunit ribosomal RNA
Source: RNAcentral
UACGUAGGGUGCGAGCGUUAAUCGGAAUUACUGGGCGUAAAGCGUGCGCAGGCGGUUAUGUAAGACAGGUGUGAAAUCCCCGGGCUUAACCUGGGAACUGCAUUUGUGACUGCAUAGCUAGAGUACGGGAGAGGAGAGUGGAAUUCCUGGUGUAGCGGUGAAAUGCGCAGAUAUCAGGAAGAACACCCGUGGCGAAAGCGGCUCUCUGGAACGGUACUGACGCUGAGACGCGAAAGCGUGGGGAGCGAACAGG